This 459-nucleotide ribosomal RNA is filed under the name uncultured bacterium. Its description in RNAcentral is "partial 16S ribosomal RNA". It matches the Rfam family "Bacterial small subunit ribosomal RNA", at positions 338 to 795 of the family's 1533-position model. The record is from RNAcentral.
CCUACGGGAGGCAGCAGUGAGGAAUAUUGGUCAAUGGCCGAGAGGCUGAACCAGCCAAGUCGCGUGAGGGAAGACGGCCCUACGGGUUGUAAACCUCUUUUGUCGGGGAGCAAAGCGAGUCACGUGUGACUCAUUGAGAGUACCCGAAGAAAAAGCAUCGGCUAACUCCGUGCCAGCAGCCGCGGUAAUACGGAGGAUGCGAGCGUUAUCCGGAUUUAUUGGGUGUAAAGGGUGCGCAGGCGGAGGUGCAAGUCAGCGGUCAAAUUGCGGGGCUCAACCCCGUACUGCCGUUGAAACUGCAGCCCUUGAGUGCGCGAGAAGUAUGCGGAAUGCGUGGUGUAGCGGUGAAAUGCAUAGAUAUCACGCAGAACUCCGAUUGCGAAGGCAGCAUACCGGCGCGCAACUGACGCUCAUGCACGAAAGCGUGGGUAUCGAACAGGAUUAGAUACCCGUGUAGUC